Pteropus alecto (black flying fox) is the source of this 116-nucleotide non-coding RNA. Lineage: Eukaryota; Metazoa; Chordata; Mammalia; Chiroptera; Pteropodidae. The record is from Rfam.
GUCUACAGCCAUGCCACCCUGAACAACCCCGAUGUCCGAUCUUGGAAGCUAAGCAGCGUCGGGCCUGGUUAGUACUUGGAUGGGAGACCAUCUAGGAAGACCAGGUGCUAUAGGCA